RNAcentral lists this long non-coding RNA (20008 nucleotides) under Panax ginseng (ginseng). RNAcentral describes it as "long non-coding RNA (PGIN_LNC014901)". The record is from RNAcentral. Lineage: Eukaryota; Viridiplantae; Streptophyta; Magnoliopsida; Apiales; Araliaceae.
UAUAUAUAUAUAUAUAUAUAUAUAUAUCAGUUCACAUGCAGUAUGGACACAUUAUAUAUAUAAUAUAUAACACAUGCUAUAUUUAAAAAAAAUCCAACAACUUGUGAAUCAUUUUUUUCAAAGUGUUGGCCAAUGGAAAAAAACUAGCACAUGCAAAUCUUGGACUUUAAUCAAUUAGAAAGUAUACUAAGUCACACGCUAUUAAUAUAAUGAAUGAUUUGGCAAUUAAGUCCUAAUCUUGAAAAGAAACUUUGCAUCCUGCCAAUUUAUUUCAUCUUCCAAGACCACUAACACUCACCCACCCACUUGUUAUACAUAUAUAAAUAAUAUGUAUAUAUAUAUAUAUUUAUUUUAAUACAUCCUUCCGAUAAUUUUGAAAAAUGGGUAAAUAGAGAUCAAAAUAAUAAGUAAAAUUGAGUGACUUCUCACGUAAGCAUCAAUAAUCAAUACCGUGUGCUACUAUGCAACCACGCGUAUUACUGUACUUUUACUACCGAGUAGUUCAACAGUAUCAACGGUAAAGCUUCCGCCGUAUUUUCAAUAAAAUAUUUUUGUCAUUUUCUCAAUCCGACAAUAAUUCUGUUGUGUGGUCCACCAAUGAUUGUGCCGUCGUACGAAUAUUUUCUGUUAAAACGGAUAUUCCCCGACCAAUCGAAUAUUAUAUAACAACUUGCAUACUUUGCAAAAUUUAUAAAUAUUACCCACAACUAUAACAUUAUAUUAAAUUUAUUCCAUAAUAUUCAAAAAUGAUAAUUAUAGAAAAUUCAUUUUUAUUCAAAAAGUUGAGGUCUUACAGUGGAGAUGAAGAGGGUGAAGAUUAUGCAAGGGAAUCCUUUAAAGUGUUUUCGAGAGAGGAGAGAGAGACAAAUCAAAUUUUCAACGGACCCAUCAAAUUAACGAACUGUCAAAUGAUAGCCCAAAAACCAAUUGCUAAACCAACCUGCAUAAUGUAAGACAAAAACCGGUAUAAAAUUGGUACCGAACCGGUUAAUCGAUUUGGUAUACCGGUUAGAUCGGUAUCGAUAUUGAUACCCAAUUUUAAAUAGAUUCGAUUAUCGGUCCGAUUUAGUUCGAGCCGGUUGGAUACAAUAAAUUCAUGUAAUUAGGGUUUGUAAACGGAUUGAACGCACAAAUUGACAUUCGAAAUUCAUGUAAACGAAUUAAUAACAAGAGAUACAUACUACUCCAACUAAAGUAGCACACAGUUUUAAGUUGGAAUCAUUGGAGAAAGUGUCAAAAACAUGUUUUCUCCUAGUACAACCUUAGGUAAUUAUUGACUAUGAUUAACUAGUUUGCCAAACAACAAAACAGAAAGAACAAGAAUUGAGUGUCUACUUUUCUUCAUCUUACGUGUAUCUAAGCAUAAAGCCAUGAGAACCUAAACAAAGUUCCAUAUAUAAUGACGAUACGUUAUUAUACAUACAUAUUAUAUUUAUAUGAAUUUUUUUAAUAAUUAAACACGAGUAUAUUAUAAUUUUAUUUAUUUAUAUUUUAACUCUUAAAAAUAUAAAAAAAUAAAAUUAUAGAAAGUUUGUAUUCAAUUUUUAUGUCCAAUUAUUAUUUCCCAAUAACUCAUUUGUAUGCAUAUUUUUUGAAUUCGAUUAAUAUAAUUUUUUUUUAUUAUAAAUUAGUUAAUUGACAAAUAAAAUAUUUAACAUUCUUAAUAUGAAAAGCGAUUACUCUUUUCGUCCUGCAACGCCGUCUUCCACGUUUCUUUCUUUAACGUCCUUCUCUCUGAAGACUCAUAAUUUCUUUCUCUAAAACUUGUUACUUUAUAUAAAUACACGUUCAUUCAUUAUUCUUAUUUUAAUAGGAAUAAAACCUGGCGAAGUAAAUUACUGAAAAGAUGUUAUCAAGAGUACUUAAUGGUAGUACUGUGGUUUGGAAUGAAGGCUGAAAAGAUGAAGAAACAGCUCCAUGGAACAACAACAAUAAUGGGGGUUUAGAGAACAAAGAUGAAAUGGGGUCUCUCUCUACAUUCAAAUCAAUGGUCGAAGUUGGUGAAGAAGUAGAAGAAUGGUACUUAGCUGCUACUAACAACAUCACCUUCUCUCCAAACUUCACUGAAGCUGAUAACAUUAAUAAUCUUCUGUUGCAACCAGUGGAUUCUUCUUCAUCCUGUUCGCCCUCAUCAACUUCACUUUUCGAUAAUCUUGACCCAUCACACGUAAACUACUUUUUACCUCAAAAACCCACUAACCCAUUACUCCUAAAUCCAUUAUCUAACAACCCACUAGAGAAUAAUUUCGAUCUAAGCUGUGAAACCGGGUUUCUUGAAAACCAAGCUUUGAAUUCUUUAAGUAGGGGAAAAGGGAUUUUGACUGAAUUCAGCAAUUUAAGCUCUCAAGCCCAUAUGGGUACUUCCAAUUAAAGUUCAGAUCUUCAUUUUUCAACAACCCAUUUGCUUCAAUUGGCUGAAAACAGUGGUGCAAUCAGUGCUGGUUUUGAUUCAACGGGGUUUCAGGGUUUUGAGCCUGGGGAUGGGAAUUCUUUGUUUUUCAAUAGGUCUAAGUUGUUGAAGCGGCUUGAAAAUUUUCCUUCAGUUGGAGCACAAUCCACUUUGUUUCAGAAGAGAGCUGCUCUUAGGAAGAAUUUGGCAGAUAGUGUUUGCAAUUUUGGGCUUUUGGGUAAUGUUGGAGGAUUUGAUAGGAGGGAAGUGGGUGAAGUGAGUGAAAAGAAAAGGAAGAAUACCCAUGGAGAUGAUUUGGAUAAUCUUAGCUUUGAUGGGUCAGGUUUGAAUUAUGAUUCUGAUGAGUUUACGGAGAAUAACAUGGUAGAAGAGAGAGGCAAGAAUGGCGGGAAUAGCUCAAAUGCAAAUAGUAAUGUGACUGGUGGGGAUCAGAAAGGGCUUCCAGCUAAAAAUUUGAUGGCCGAAAGGCGCCGCCGGAAGAAGCUCAAUGAUAGGCUGUACAUGCUGAGGUCUGUUGUCCCAAAGAUUAGCAAGGUAUGAAUUACUGUGCAGCUAUUUCUCGUGAAUUACAGUGUGUUAUUUAUCAUGUUUUAGCUUUUGGGAAUGAUUUGUCAUUUUUUUUUCUUUUUUAUAUUUAGUUUCUUUUUGUUUGAUCAACUGCAUGUUUUUACUGUAUAAUAUUGUUCAAACUUCAAAGUGAUUAUGAAUUAAAAGCUAAAGGACCGCAUUAAAUUCAUUCACAUGAAAUCUGGGAUGGUGGAUUUAAAUUUGACCACAAUGUAUGGACUAAAGUCAGGAAAAUAAAAUAUCUUAUUGAAGGAUUGAAAAAUUUAUAUGAACACUUAACUCUAAUGGUGCAGCAUAAUGGAAGUUCUUUUUGUUAUGAAUAUUCUUCUUGUAAAUCUCUCCAAAAAUAGCUGCCCGUGUCAAUCUUUUGCUGAUUUCCUUCUUUCAUCUUUUGGCUGCAUGAGGUCCCAUAUAUACUUUAGCCCUCCUCUGUUCAUUAUACCCCACAUUUUGGGGUUUAUUAUUAAUAGUUUUAUCCAUGCCUCGAGAUGAAGAUUAAUUAUGAUUCUGUUAUAUUUCGCGAUUGCCCUAGCAUGAAGUUCUUUACUUUAAUCUGGAGUGACCACUAUGAACGGUUAAGACACUUGAAAAUCAGAGAAGAAUAUUUUCAUUCAUAUAUUUUUAUGUAUCCUUACAUGUACAUAUUUAUAGAGAUAGUAGAGAUCCUACAAUCAAGCUAUUCAUCCUACAAUCAAGCUAUUCCUAUAAUUAAGUUAUUUAGCUAUUCCUAUAAUUAAGUUAUUCCUNNNNNNNNNNNNNNNNNNNNNNNNNNNNNNNNNNNNNNNNNNNNNNNNNNNNNNNNNNNNNNNNNNNNNNNNNNNNNNNNNNNNNNNNNNNNNNNNNNNNCCAUAGAGUACUUGAAGGAACUUCUGCAGAAAAUAAAUGACCUCCACACUGAACUGGAGUCGACGCCUACUAGCUCUUGAUUGACAGUCCACAAGCUUUUAUCCUUUGACACCCACUCCACCUACCCUACCCCGCCGUCAUGGGCGGACCUAAGGCUAGGGCAAGGGGGCACCUGCCCCCACUGGAUUUUCACCUCUUCAUAUUAUAUAUAUACUACAAUUAUUAAUAUAUUCACAAAUUUUAGAGCACGGUGAAACAAAAUAAAUAGAGUACUACAGUUAUAUUAGUACACUACUAUAAUGUUAUUGAAAAAAAAUAAUAUACGACUAUAUAUUGUUAAAAUAAAAUACUACUGUAAGAACUUAAGUAUUUUAUUGUCUUGAUCAAUUUACUUCUCCUGAAUACCAAGAAGGUAAAAAACAGAGGAGUUACAGUUACUAAAAAUUAUGAAAUAUUUCGUUUAUAAUUUCUAUAAUUUACCUGAAUUUUUCACAAAAAAAAAAGAGUGACUAGUAAAUAUUCCAAUAUUAUGUAGACAGGUGUCAUUUCAUUAGUAGUAGUAGUAGUAUAAAAUUCGAGAUCAACAUCAUUAUAUUUAUCUUCUCCCAAUAAUGUUGUCAGUUGUUGUUGUACAAUCCACCAGUCACUUAAUCAAAUUUAAACAUUUUAAAGUAUAUUAAAAUGUUUAUCUAUCAUAUUAACAAAAUAGUAGCAUGAUAUUCUUUUUUUCAGUAACAUAAUAGUAGUAUACUAAUAUAACUGUAGUACUCUACUUAUUUUGUUCCACUAAGCCUUAAAAUUUGUGAAUAUAUUAAUAACUAUUAUAUAUAUAUAUAUAUAUAUAUGAAGAGGUAGAGGAAUUGGAAGAAUGUACAUGUUAUUGAAAUAUGAUAUUUUUGUAACUAUUAAAAAUGAGGCUAUCAUGCAAUAAUUUCAAGCAAUAAAAAUGCAAAAAAUAUUAUUAUGAACAAUAUUUGAGGAUUAUUUAGUUUUGUGAUUCAUUUUAUUAAAUUAAUUUUUAUUCUUAAUAAAUUUUAUUUUUAAAUUUGACCCCACUGAAUUUUCAAGCUGGAUUCGCCCCUGCCCGCCGUAUUAAGGAAGAACUUUGUCCAAACUUGUUGCCGAGCCCAACUGGACAACCUGCAAGGGUAACAACACCAAUUCUGGCUGCAAUAUCUUUGUUAUUGUAUUUGUUUGUGGGAUGAGUCAAUCUAUGUGCUUGAAAACUUUGUCCAUAAAAUCAACUAGGAAAUCGUUAUAUAAUGUUAAACAGAUAAAUCUCCAUUUUCUGUGUUUGUAGAUCGAAGCAAGGCUAAGAGAAGGAAGAGCUGUAAAUAUCCACAUGUUGUGUGGCCGCAGGCCAGGUCUCUUGCUCUCAACAAUGAGGGCUCUGGAUAACCUUGUGCUAGACAUCCAACAAGCUGUUAUCAGCUGUUUCAAUGGGUUUGCGUUGGAUAUUUUCCGCGCUGAGGUAGAAUUUCUCCCCUUUAUGAUAUGUACAUGACUUGGGAAGUAUGCAUACCACCUGCAUACAGGUCCCAAGUCCGCCCACUAGACCCAAAACUUUUAUUUGUUCUCAAGAAAGAAAAUACGAGGACUAUAUUUUAUAUCCCAUUUUUUUUAACUAGUGUCUAAUAAAAAAAUGGAAGUCUAGUUACUCGUGGAUACAUAACAAUUUUUCAUGCGAGUAAUUAGAUAGGAACUUGCAUACAGGUUCUGAUGGAACAUUUAUACUAUGCAAUACUUAUCCUGAUGGAUCACUGUUGCACUCUAUUAUUUAUCUUCUGUUACAUAUAAUAUAUGAAAAUUUCCACAGCUUCCUACCAAGGGUCUAAUCAUCCCCUUCCUAGUGCAAAAAGGAAAUUGCCAGUUUUGGUUGAUUUUGAUUAUCAAAGUAUGGCUAUUCCAAAUGGUUAUGUUUUGUAUUCUCAGGCAUGCAAGGAAGGCCAAGAUGUUCAUCCAGAUCAAAUCAAAGCAGUUCUGCUGCCUUUGGUGGUAUGGUCUAAUAAGUGUUCUUCCAUUCCUCUGGUUUAGUCUACAGUAACACCAAACCAAGGUUAUCUUUUUUCUACUUGGUUUUUCUUGGAAGUAACAAUGCUUCUGAUUUCUGUUUUAGGUUAAUUUCUACUACAGUGACCGGUGCUUUACUAGAAUGGAUCAAGGAUGUGAUAUUCACGUCAAAUUGUUAAACUAAUGGCUUUUCACUUUUUUUUCUUUUAAUAUUUUUUUAUAAGGAAGCUUAUGUAAUGUAAAUUUUAAUUUUAUUAUCAUACCAUCAACAUUUAAUAAACUCGUGGAAAAUGUUGAACAAAAAUAUAUCCUUAAAAGUUUAUAAAACUUUCAAAGGAAACAUUUUAUUUAUUUUCAAACAUUAUCAUAUCAUAUUUUCAAACACCACCUACCACUUCCCUCCCUCAAAAAAAUAACCAACAAAAGCAAAUUGGAAAUAGUAAACAACUCUACUCGAGGCAUUGGAACACUCGAUUGCUAAAUUGUAUUAACUUCUUACUUACAUGCAUACGUUGAGGCAAAAACAAGGCUCUGUACAAGGGUGAAUUGGUUUAAGAGGGCAAGGCAGUCAUCUCCUUGCCUCAGGUACUAUGUAUAAUUUAUGUAUAUAUAAAAUAUAUAGGACAGCCAUACAACACUAGCUCCACAAAUGUCCAAAAUUGUGAAGCACCAAAAGUUGCACCUGCUCCACAGAAAAUUUAUCCACUCACACGAGCUCUUCUGAAGCCUAUACACCUGUGAAAAACAAAAUCCCAUAUCAAAGUUUGUUCUAGUUUCUUCAAACAAACAGUCAUACAGAACUAUGUAUGAAAGAAUAUGAAAGGCGAUUUCACUAUAUUUUUGACCAGGAACAGGGCCCACCGCAAGAAUAUUUUUUAAAAAGCACUUGUAAGUGACAGUUUCCCAUUACUUCUCUUCAUUAUACUUGUAUUUUCAGAACAAGCCAGGAUUUACCUAAACUUAGACUGAAACCUAGGAAUCCUCAGGAGUGGAUGAAGGCAGUAGAUUCUUCAUUUCUCUUGCAUCCAUGCCUUCUGCAGUCGUUGAAUUUUCCUCGCCUUUCGAAUUCAGGUUUCCUGGGUUCAUUCGCUGGACCUCUUCUCUAGUAUAAAUGAAGAUUUUCCGAACCAUGCCACAGAAUUCCCUAUUUUAAACCCAAAACGAAAAAUGAAAAGCAUAAAUCAACAAGUGAGCAUUGCUCUCAAGGCAAUUAAAUAGUGGAAGUUACUCGAGAUAGAAUAUAUAUAUAUAUAAAGGGGUUCUUACUGCCACGGAUCAUCUCCAACAAGCAUCAUAUCACCCUCGUCAUCAGUAUACACAAGCAACCAAUUUUUGUUCCGAGCUUUCAAGUCACCGCCAAACUCAAAUAACUGGUCCAAUUCAGUAAUAAGUCCAUCAUAAUUGUUGAACUUAGUAAGGUCCACGGACCGACCAAGGGCAAUCCCCUGCUUAUGAACCUGAAAUCAACAUCAUGUAUUAGUUCCACAAGGAAUUUAGCUACACUAAAGUAAAAGACUAUGCAGUUAAACAUGUUAUAACCUUAGUGCAGCUCCUUGUAGUAGAACCUCCCUGGACUUUGCCCUGACCAUCUUUCACAAGUGGCUGAUAGGUUUGGAAAGGUUUAUCCUGCUCACUACAGGUAAGAGGAAUAUCUGCCACUUUUGAUCUUUUUGAUUGUUCAGUCCUUUGAUCAAGUUCAAAUCUAGACUGCAUCCCAGGAUGGAUAUGCCCUGCUGCCUCGAUCAUUGUACUUCUGUGCGACACUGCCGACUCCAGUGUAGCAGGGCUGCUGAUGAGGGGUAUACCAAAGAGCUUACAAUUUCCAUCUUUAGGUUUUACUGCCUGAUGCUGUACCGAUAAGGAUUUUGGUAUCAGUUCUCUUGAAUGAGCAGGCAUCAGAAGAUAAGAUGGAAAUGGCAGAGGCAUCAACCAGUUGCCUUGGUGGUGGUCACCCGUCUGACCAGGAUGCAUGGGAUACUCGUUAUAAUUACCAUAUCUAGCAUCCCCUUGUGGUUGAUAAGAAGCAUCACUUUGCAAAUGACCUUUCAUGCUAGAGUCUAACAAGUUUAGAGAGAGAUUGGAAGACGACAUGGACCAUGGGCUUGAAAAUAGGUUGAACUUGCCUUCCUGAUUGGGCAAUUGAAGUUUCAUCGAGUUUGCAAAAGCUGCAGUUCGAGUACUAGAGGGCAUACAGAGAUCGUGUGAGGAAUUAGUUUGGGUCCCAAAACCUGAUAGAAGAUCUGUGAAGGACAAUUCAGCCCUCCCUAAGGGCGACAACUUCUCUGACCUAUAUCUUUUUGAAGCAGAUACAACGUCAACCUUCUCAUCAUCUAUGGAAGGUGGCCAUACCAUUGGUUUAUCAGACGAAUCAGACUCGUUACUCUCACCAAAGGCGCCUCUCAAGGUCGAUAUUUCUUGACCUUGCAAGACCCUUGAAAACCCACUUGCAGGCGGCGAAGGAUCUACUGCUACUUUAGAUGAACCUAUACCAAAAGAAAUACAAGGAUAUUUACAAGUUAUUAAACAUUAUUGGGUUAACCUCUAUUAAACAUUUGAUAGAGGAAUAUACCUUCCCGCGUGAGAACAGAGGAGUCUGGAGAAGAAGGCAACAUGCUUGAUCGAGGUCUUUUUGGUCUUGGCAUUGGGAGUGGAUUUAGCGCUGGAGGGGUAACAGCAGGUUCUAUUUUCCAGGCAGAAACUCUCUCUGGACGAGGAAUAUUGGAAGUUUCAUCCCAUCGCACCUUCAAAUAGAAUGAAAAGGAUAAGCUUUUUGUAAUGCAAUAUAUAAACUAAAUCAUAAUUUAUUAAGAGAUAUAUAAUACCUUGAGAAAUCUCCAUUUAGAUUCUGGCCACCUUUCGGGAUCAGACUCUUCAGUUCCAACUAUGGUUCCAGUAAACCUGCAAGACAAAAAAAUUAAAAUUUCAUGCAACAAAACAUGCAGGGUUAUUUAUGAAGAAACGAGGUCAGAUUCAGUAAUGCAAACACAAUGUUGCCAUACCUCUGCUCUGGGGAUUCUUCUCCUUCAAAUCUCAUUUUGAAUCUCAUUCCUAUGGAAUAAUUGUUCUUGACAGACUCCAUGUAUUGAUCAAAUGGUACAAUAAACUCAGCAGGGCUAGUCCUGGAAGAAAAUAAUAGAAUGCUUGCUUAAGGAGGCUAGCUAACAUUGAAAAAAACUUAUGACAAGACGAAAAAAUGAAACUAGACCUACUGGACUACUAGAUGAAAUGGUGGAAGCUUGAUAGCAAAUAAUUGUUAGCCCAAAUCAUAAAGAUGAGACUGUCCACAUAAUUCGACUCUUACAUACACAGAAGGUAAUCAAGUUUAUAACCAUUAUGAUAAGUUGACGUAAAGGGGUGGGAAUCAAAAACCAUCCCAGACUUCUAUACUAGGCACCUAACUAGAGCUAAUUUCUGAAAUCCUUCCACCUCGCAGUUGCACUACUCAUUAAAAGUAUUGCAUCACUUACCUAGGCUUGAAAUAGACUGUGAACAUUGUUCCUGUCUGAAUGGCAUGCCAAGCUGUUGCAAGGACACCAAGAUGCAUGCUGUGACUUGAUAUGACUGAUGAUGGAACAUUAGCCUGCUGUCUCAAAGCACGUCUUACACCAACACGAAGGUCCCCAUUUUCACCCCUAGAAAUUUCACCUUGUUUCAGAAGGCGGUAAAAUAUAGAAAAAAUAUGAAUUCUGAAAAUUUUGAAGAAUUUUGCAAACCUCAAAAAUAUAAAAGCAUCCCCAGCGACGAGCCUUUUUGAGCUAACAAAAACACUCCAGCCACUUUGAAGCAAGUGCCUCCUUGGUUGACCUGACAUUUGCAAUUCCAUGACAUUAAAAUGCAUUUCUAGUUUAAAAUCAACCAACUUCUAAUAUACACCCAAAACAAAGUCCUGCGAGUAUAGUGCAGCCACAAAAAAGAUUCAACUUUAAGACUCAAGUACAUAAUAAUAAACAUCCCAUUAGGGAAGAACAAAAUCUUAUGCUUAACGGUAUCAAUUUAAAGCAUAUUAUCAUGAAAGGAAUUCUGACAAAAAAAUACUUUUAAAAAAAGGUAUUCUGUCAAAAAACACUUCAACUGUUUUCAGUGGAAAUAAUCAUUUAUAAUUACAGGGUUUUCCAGUUCAAAAAAGCAGGAAGAAAAUAAUGGUGAUAACCAUCCCCUUGUCCAAGUAUCACUAAGGAUAUCAUAUAUAUACAAACAUCAUACACACUAUUCAAGUUUCCAAAAUGUAAGUAAAAGAUGAUCGAGUUAUAGCAUACACCCUAUUCAAGUUUCCAAAAUGUAAGUAAAGAUGAUCGAGUAUAUAGCACAUACCACGAAAUAUAUGUCUAAAACGCCAUUCAUUUCCAUGCAAAUCCUUGGCCACCAACUCCUGUGUUGGGGGUUGCUGUGUCAUGUCCUGUUAAGUAUAUACCAAAUACCAAAAACAACUUAGAGCCCAAAUUCAAGUAACUAAAGAAAAAGAACAUGUACAAGCAAAUGCAUAACAAAUCAUCCUAACCAGUGGGGGUAGGCAUUCAUCAGCAUGCCGUCUCAACACUGAGAAUCCUCCAUGAGUGCUUGUAUCAGAUGCAGUGAGAGUCUUGCAAAAUGAAUGAACAUGAAAACGGGGUUGGGCAGGAGGUAUAUGAUCCAUCUUCACAGCACUCUCAUCUUGCUGGCAUCACCCAAGUAAACAUACAAUCAUCAACUCUGCGUCAACUUCUCAAAAAAUCAAGUGCGUCUUGCAGUGUUCAUGAAGAGUAAACUUACAUUUGGUUCAGGCAUCAAAGUCACUUGUGCAAACACCUCAUCUGUGUCUGGCUCAGCCUGUAAAUACACACACGAACCAAUGUCAUUAUUAACUAAUGGUAAAACCCAUAACAAACACUACAAAUUUGAAAAGAUGGCAUCCAUGGUAAAUUCUGGAAGAUCCAUCCCCAAUACUAAAAACCGAGCAACCAUUUUACCAUACCUUCAAGUGAACAUUAAAAACACGGCAUAAUAUCUUGGAUAGAAGAUUAUACACUGGCAUCUGCUGUUCCGCCACCUGAUUAGUGGAGGCCUCCACCUAAUCAAACCCAGAAAGCAAAAGCCAUAACUCAUAAACUGAUUAACACAAACCAUUUAAUAAAACUCCUAAAAAUCUUCUUCAGCAGUAACCACAAAUAAGCCUCGUCUUUAAACACAGUUUCUAAGAAAAAAAAUAACUUUUAGUCACACAGACUAACGUACAGGCAAAAUUCGUAAUACCUUUAAUAGAAGUAAUAGAAAUUACUGUGAAUCAAAGCUCCAAGUAAGAGGGAGCUUGCAAUUUUCUUGUGACAUAAAUAGAAAUUAACCUGUUCAAUGUGGCCUUGAGGAAAAUAAUACACAAGAUCGCCUUCACGAGGCACACUCACGAGCGGACCAGCACAAGCCCGCCAUAACUCUGUGUAAAGCGCUGCAUCCGCAUCAACUGCACACAUAAGAGAGAAAGCACAAUCAAAAUUCGCCAGAUCCCUUAACAGUCACCUGAAUCUCACCGAGUAACUACAAAAUUUACCAUUUCCUCCGCCGGAAGCCGCCAGAACAGUUGUAGAACCUCCUAUGCCGUCGUUUUGAUCACUAUAAGCCGAGGAGAAACUCUCUCCCUGAGGAGUUAUUCCUUUACUCGACACGUCGGAAGAAGCCAUUUCUAUUCAGCCUCAACACAGAUCUCUUAUCUCAAACCUUAAAUAUCAAAUUAAAUUUCACUUUCACCCUAUAAAUCUUUAUAUAUGUAUAUAAAAUCAAGCUCAACUUAAAACCCUUUAUCAAUUCAAUGAAGUUAACUUUCUCUCUCAAUAGAUAUGAAAUUCUCAAUCAGUUGCCAAAUCUGUAUACCUCUUUCUCUCUAUAUCACCGGUAGUAAUAUCAGAACUUCGUCGUCGAGAAGAGAAUGGAAUGGGUUGGGGUUUACAGGCUCUAGAGGGAUGGGAGGAGAGAGACAAGCUUUUUGAUAACCAGAUGGGGGUCAAAACUCCAAGCACUUUGUUUCGCAAUAAUUUCAACCGCGGUCAAUUCCUAACCCCGUGUGAAACCGAUGAAACCGGUGAGUCUCUAUCCUCCACUGGCUACUCCCGGUGGAUGCAGCAAACAUAUGAAAACGCGACUGUGUCCGGAGGAGACAAUAAAUAAAGGCGGGCUUGCGAAGGAGAGAGUAUGGACGGCAUUUGGUUCGCCGUUAAGUGAUGUUGGGGGUGGGUAAAAGCCUAAAAUGAGCAAACAGUUUGGAUUCAAUUUGUACUCGCUCGACUUGAAAUAUAAAUUAGUCAAAUAUGAGUAAAUUUUAAAGUUUGAUAAUUUACUCGAAUCUUCUUAAAUUAUAAUUUUCUAUUGAUAUUCGGAUAAUAUUUAUUCAAAUUACUCUGGUUCGAUUCGAGAUCAUAUUCAACUCAAUAAUUAAACAAGUUUCAAUUAAAUUUUAUUUUAUAUUUCAUAAAUUUUUUGAACUAAAUUUAAGUAACUCAAUACUUGAUUCGAUUCAUUUACAACCGGUAAGACUUGGAUAACGGUGAACCGCUUUGACUUGACGUUAGUAGAAAGAUGUUCUGUUUUUAUGGGGAAGUGGGCCUGUCGUGCUAUUAACGGGCAGAGUUGGAGAGGGGGUUAAGUUAGCACACCCACUUUUUCUGGCGCAUGUUAACCAUGGUGACAUUUUACUAGUAUUAUUUUUUAUUGAACUGUACAUAUAAAAAUAAUUUUUUUUAAAAUUCUUUAUUGCCGGCUUUCCCUCUCUACAUUAGUGCGCCCGGGCCCUAUUGUACUACAGUCUACAGAUGCAGAGACUACACCAAAUACAAGUCUCGCUGCAUAUCGUCACGUUUACUUACAUUUUCGUACGGUUAGUUGCCUCGAUAAUUUGAAAAGAAAAUAAAGACUAGUCUAUUUAUAAAAUAAUAACUGUAAAAUUUUUUUUUGAUACAAAUAUAAAAAUAAUUUACAAAAAAUAGAGAAAAAAAUUGAAUAAGAUGCUAUACAUUAUUUUAUAUACGAUAUUAGUACUUAUUUUUUGGUCACCAAAUCAGUUAUGAAAUAUGCAACCAUUGCAUUACACAUAUAAUGAAUAAGACAAUUGAUACAUAUUGUUUUUUUUCUUACAAUGUUUAAGCAAUGGGACUCAUACUUAUUUUAUUUUUUCUUAUGCGGGUAAUUGAUACUUCAUACUUAGUAGUGCUCUUAUUGUUUAAUAUUUCUUUGUUUUGAGUAUAUUAUUCUUUAAACUUACAUUUUUUAUAAUUUUGAUCUACUUGUUAAUUGCUGCACAAGUUUUCCCAACAAGAUGAAUUUUAUCAUUAUCUCAAAAUGAGUAGUAGCCUUAUGAAAUUAAUAAAAUAACAUUUUAUUCUCUCUCUUAUUUAAGAGUUAACGUUCAAAAUAGUGACGAUGUAUACAAAAACGGAUUUAUGAUUAUAAAAAUAUGCUGCACAAUGUAUAUUUUAAAGUUUGGAUAAAUAAACUUGGACGUAUAAAAUAAAUAAUUUAUAUUUAUAAGAAUAAUAUAAUGUCUUUAACUGUUUAAUAUAAGAAAGUGGUUAGUAAGAAGUUUAUUUUAAGAUAAAUUAGUUAAUUAAUUAAUAAAAUAUUAAUACGCAGAUAAAAUUAUAUGUGUGUCAGUAUUCUAUUUGGGUUUUGAGGAAAGUGAAUUAAUGAAUGAAACAUUUGAUUUAAUGAGUAUUUAGUACGAAUAGAACUAAUAAUGAGUGGGACCCAAUGGAAUUGUGUAAGUAGCAGUUUUGUGGUCUAGAAGUAACAAACGGAGGAAUCUUUGUCCGGACAAUAGCUUUAAUUGGAGAUGCCAUCAGCAUCUGUCUCCUUAUUUCUCCAUCCAUCUUACUUCUCUUAGAUAAUCUUAAAUUAAAUAUCAAUUUAUUUUAAUUAUAAUUAUUAUAUUUUUAUUCUGUAUAUAUAUUUAUGCAAUAUUAUUAAAAAAAUAUGUAAUUAAAUAAAAAAUUUAAUAUAAAAAAAUUUAUUGUUUUAUUCUUUUCACAUAGAUGAACGAUUUUAUGUGAUAGAUUUAUACGGCGUAAAAAUGAAAAGUUAGAGCAUCCAAAUAAGAAAAGAAAAUUUAUUAUUCAAAAUAGAUUUAAGCUUUUUAGUAUUUAGUAUUAUUUGUGAUGGAAUGGAUAUAGUAGUCCUACUCCUACCUCAUUAUGUUGCGACUUGCAAAGGGAUAGGAUAGGGUCAUAGGGCUGGUUGCUUGGUGUUGACGGAGAGCUACUAAGGAGGGUUAAAAAUGGAAAGACAUUGUUGACACGACAUUACAUUAUCGUUUUUAAUAUCCGCCAAGUGGCUGUGAGCCGGUGCUAUAUUUUUUACUACCUAUAUGGAGUAAAAAGCAAUAGUAAUANNNNNNNNNNNNNNNNNNNNNNNNNNNNNNNNNNNNNNNNNNNNNNNNNNNNNNNNNNNNNNNNNNNNNNNNNNNNNNNNNNNNNNNNNNNNNNNNNNNNNNNNNNNNNNNNNNNNNNNNNNNNNNNNNNNNNNNNNNNNNNNNNNNNNNNNNNNNNNNNNNNNNNNNNNNNNNNNNNNNNNNNNNNNNNNNNNNNNNNNNNNNNNNNNNNNNNNNNNNNNNNNNNNNNNNNNNNNNNNNNNNNNNNNNNNNNNNNNNNNNNNNNNNNNNNNNNNNNNNNNNNNNNNNNNNNNNNNNNNNNNNNNNNNNNNNNNNNNNNNNNNNNNNNNNNNNNNNNNNNNNNNNNNNNNNNNNNNNNNNNNNNNNNNNNNNNNNNNNNNNNNNNNNNNNNNNNNNNNNNNNNNNNNNNNNNNNNNNNNNNNNNNNNNNNNNNNNNNNNNNNNNNNNNNNNNNNNNNNNNNNNNNNNNNNNNNNNNNNNNNNNNNNNNNNNNNNNNNNNNNNNNNNNNNNNNNNNNNNNNNNNNNNNNNNNNNNNNNNNNNNNNNNCCCACCCCCUAAAUUUUACUAUUUUUUUAAACCUCACUUUUUAGGGGAUAUAAUUAUAAUACUCCAUCCGUUCCUAUUUAAAUGACGUUUUAAAGUUUUUUAUUUGUCCGUAAUUAUUUGACGUUUGUUCAAAUUUAGAAGAAUUAAUGACAAUUUUUUCAAAAUUACCCCUUAUUAUUCUUCCUACUUUUUUGAUACUUUAAACUCUUUCUCUCUCCUUAUCCCAACAAAACUCUUCUUAUCCCAACAAAACUCUCUUUAUCCCAAUAAAAAAUUUAAGGGUAUUAUAGACAAUUGAGUACUAUAUUUAAUGCUUUUCAAAUAUUAUCUUAAUGUUUGUGCCUAUCUCUAAAACGUCAUUUAAAUAGGGACGGAGGAGCGUAAAGGAACGCAUUUAAAGUGAUCAGAAUCUCAGUUUUAACUAUUAGACUAACUUAAGAAAAUUAUUCACCUAAUAAGUAAGUUAUUAAUUAUUAUGUUAAUCUUUCUUUUUUGAGUUUCAAUAAAGAUUUAAUAUCCUUGAUCAAUAAUAGAUAAGAGUUGAGUUGAUUAAUUGUUUUAAGUAUUUCAUCCAACUUUAAAAAAGAAAAUAUAUUAUCAUCAUUUUCCGUAAUCUUUGAGCGAGCGAGCUAUAAAUUGACGAAUUCAAGUCAUGUGGGGCUUCAAGUUGAUUAGGCUUAGGGAUGAGACCCACAGCUUAAACCUGUCCCCUAAUCAAAGGACAAGAGCCUACGAAAGUGGGACACGACUUAUUCUUCCCCAUUUCUUCAACCACCCCCUUAAUCCUCUCCUCCAUCACUCCUCACCUUCAGACCAAAACCGUGUUUCUCUCUAAUCACAUACUCUUUUCUUUUUUACAAUUCGAUUUUAGAGAUAUAUUGAAAUAAGUCGGGUCAAAUCUACAAAUUUGGAAUAAAUAUUGGGUCAAAUCUCGAAUUUAAAUCAAAUCAAAUCUAUCCAAAUAAAGCUUUAAACCACUAACUCAAUAGUAUCUUAUUAGUUAAUCUUAGUCCACACAGGUUCACCCAAAAGAUCAUAAUUGAAUGUACUAUUGUUAGUAACUUAAUUCGUUAUUCCCAUAUCUUUCGAUGUGAGAUUAGAAUGCUACAUAUAUUUUAUCAGAUGUCCGACUUCAGAUAUCUUCGUUUAUUUCUAAAUACAAAAAUAAUAUUUUUGCAUUUUAUUUAGAACCAUAAUGUGAGAGGAAUGCCAAAAACAAAAUACUGCCAAUGUCAAUGUUGCAUCUCAUACUUAAUUUAGCAAUUUAGCUAGGGUGGUGUUUAAAUUGUGAGGUAAUAUAUAUGAUUACAAAAUGUUGAUUAUGCUUCAAAAUCAGUAGUUUUGACAAAGUUUCAUAUCACCUAUUUAGAAAACAUUCCUUGUGUAUAUUAGUAAGUGGUGGUUUGGGGCUUAGUAACAUGAUUGGGAAAUAAAGAUGGGCUCGCGCACAUGAGGACGACUAAGGAAUUGGGCUAGGCCAAACUUGGUUCUUGGACUUUUUCGGCUAGGUAGCCCACUGUUUUGCUAUUUUUAUUUCCUUUUUAUACUAAGCAAGGUUACAGAUUUCUUCUUCGUUAGGACAGUAGCUUUGUGCUACGCCUCGGCUUUCUUCGGUUUUCAGCUAAGUUGUUCUAAUUUUCUCUAUUGCUCGUCUUGUUAAUUCUGCUCUAAAUUCCAAUACUAAAUACUAAGCCCUUCAUGAUUUAAUGAUAAAAAAACUACUCAUAAAUUUGGGUGCAUGAGGUUUUGAGAUCUAUUCUUGCCAAAGACAAAAAUAUUAAAAUUUCAGUCGAAUGUAACAAAAAAAGAAAAAAGAAGAAAGAAAAAAAAAAGGAGUACAAAGUGCAAGAGUUAUGGUAUUAUACAUGCAUGAGAUGAGAGCAAUAUAUGUGUGUGUCCACAUGUCAAAAUUCAAAAGUUUAGCCCACUAAACAAACAAACAAACAAACAAGAAGCUAGUGUCACAUUUUCCCACGUGUUUAAUUUUAUUUGAAUACUUUUGUUUUGUUAGUUGAGGAGGAACGGAUAAAGAUGAUGACACACAAACACACCCUUGUCUAGUAGUACAUCAUUUGUAUAUAUACAUUUUGUAGGCAAGGGUUUGUUUGUAUGAGAUUCAAUUGGGUAAAUACAAAUAUACAAUACUUCUUUGCACUCUAGAUGGAAGACCAAACCUCAGGUCAUUGGCAAAAUCAUGGGCCUAAACAACCACAAUCUUGAGAAAAGAUAAACUUAAAUAUGCAAAGAGGAGAAGAUAAUGAAUUGAGUAAUGUUACAGACACAAACUAUUUUAUAAACUGAUGAUACUCUACCUCAUCAUAUUGAUCAACAAAUUGCUUCAAUGUAGUUUUCGGCUUCACAUAAAAAGCUGAGGUGAAAUAUACAACAUCAACAAUUUGUAAAAUAGUUUGUGUCAGUAGCCUUAUUGUAAAGAAUUAUGUCAUUCCACUUAACUACCAUCUCUACGUGUCUACAAUCAUGUGAUGGCGGCUUGGCAUGUAUGGUUUAUUUAUCCCAUAACUUGUUCAUAUGGACCUGUGUUCACCGACUAUGAUAAUAAGUUUAAUUUGUGUCAAUAUCAAACCACUUUUCUUUCUCCAAACUUUACUAAAAUAAGAGCUUUAUAUGCAAAUAUUAUAAAUUUCCAAAAAUAUUACUCCCUCCGUUCUUUAAUAUAGGUCGUUUUAGACAUGUGCACAAGAAUUAAGGAAAUGAUUGAAAAACAUUAAUUAUAGUAUCAAUUAUCUAUAAUACCCUUCAACCUCACUUAUCUCAUAAAUAUGGAUCAAAAGAUUAGGUGGAGUAAUAAGGGAUAAUUUGGGAAAAAUAAUAAUCAAUUCUCCUAGAUAACCACAAACGACAAAUAAUUAGGAAUAAAAACAAAAGUCUAAAACGACCUACAUAUAAGAAUGGAGGGAGUAUUAAUAUUGAUUUUUGAUGGGAUUUUAAUAUUAAUAUUAUGUGAAAGCUAAAUUUAUUCGCUUGUAAUUUUUUUUUUUUAUUAAAAAAAUUGAAUUAUUAUGUAUCGAUCGAACUUGUAAUUUGCAGUUGCUGGGUUUUUGGGUUAGUUGCAGCAGAACCUCUUUUUCCAUUUCCACAUCUCUAUACGAAGAAGAGGAGAUUCGUAAACGCAAGUGAUUUCCAGUUGAUAACAACGUUUUAUCUUUAAACCUCAAUUUCUGCUGGUUAUGGGAAUGCUGAUUUUCAAAUGGUUAUAAGAUUAAUUAAAAACGUACACAACAUUAAUUUCAGUAGUCAUUAUAUAAUUGAAGCUUACUUGUGUUAAGUAUUGCCGGCAGCUUAGUAAUAUUGUCGUAAUCUUUUAUAAAGGGAAAACUUGUGCCUGGCAUAAGUGGCAUUAAGAAAUACUCGCAAAGUUACUCUUUAAAAUUUUCAUGGAGAGGGCCAAGAAUUGAGGCUAGUUGUUGCCCUUUUCAGGUUAUGUUAACUGUGCAAGUUUUCAGGAAGUAUGAAUAAAAAAGUGUAAGAUGUAUACCAACAAACUGAAGACUCUUCGAGAAAAAAGAGAUGCUGAAAAGAUGGUAGCUAGUAAAGAUUACAUGGGUGGUAGGGAAAAAUUACUAAAAGCCCAACAGCUUUUUCCAGCACUUGAUCGAUCACCUUACGGCAGUGCUGACUGUUUUUGACAUACCCUCAGCUGCCAGAAAUAGAAUUAUGGUCCGGCAUGGGGGUGGUAGAUAAAUUACACUUGCAAAAUUGGACAAAAAUACACCCAACCAUCCUAUUCAUUCAUCAAAAGAGGCUAAUUAAUAAGCCCUUUUUUUUUUAUCUUGCUUCAUCCUGUUCUCAGGUGAGGAAUUGCCCGGAAGGCUGGCGGAAGGGCCUGUGUACGAGGAGCCCCUCGUGUUAGAAGCACCAACUGAAAAUUCACAAGUACCUAAUUUCUCCAAAAAGAAUUUUUCUAGCUGAAACAUUUCAAAUCAAUGCGUGACAAAAAAUGUUAGAUUGACAAAGACAGAGACAAAUACAACCUCAUCAGAGAGCUUUUUCAUGUAAAGGAUCAUCAAAACUCCAAACCCACAAGUACCUAAUUUCUCCAAAAAGAAUUUUUCUAGCUGAAACAAUUCAAAUCAAUGCACGACAAAAAUGUUAGUUUGGCAAAAACAAAGACAAGUACAACCUCAUCAGAGAGCUUUUUCAUGUAAAGGAUCAUCAAAACUCCAAACCCACAAGUACCUAAUUUCUCCAAAAAGAAUUUUUCUAGCUGAAACAAUUCAAAUCAAUGCACGACAAAAAUGUUAGUUUGGCAAAAACAAAGACAAGUACAACCUCAUCAGAGAGCUUUUUCAUGUAAAGGAAGCCUCGUUUGUUUCUCUGUAGUACUACAUAGUAUGCAAAAAGUUGCGUACAUCCCAUUACUAAUAAAAAUAGCCCUUCUGACUGAAGUGAUGAAGGUGCAAAUUCCAUGGGGCCAACACCCAACAAAAAAAACAAAAACCCCAAUACCCCUUCAUCAUGAGAGUGAGAUCCUUUCUACCUUCCACGCCAAUCUUUUCUUCUACAUUUUUUCUCUUUCUUGAUUAGCAGAAUCAACAUCAUUAUGCAGAAGAGACUAUGCUCUGCUAAGUGUAAACAUAACUUUCUUUCCACAACCACAGCAUUCAAAUAUUGAUACACAUACUUUACAACAAAUAUAUACAUACAUAUAUAUAUUGAGAAAGUUCCAUAGCCACUGUUCAAAAUUUAAUCGAAAGGCUAAAUAUUCUAAUCGUCCAUCUAACUAAACUGUUGACGGAGGCCAACCAUGUGAUUUGUUAAAAUAUCCCCUUUUCAAAAAUAAGCAUUGUCCGCAUAAUUAAAUUACGGACGGCAAUUAUUGUCCACAUACUUAAACUGCGGCCAAAAGCCAAACUUUACUUGCGUCUGCAUAAUUAAACUGCAGAUGCUGACCAUCCUAACCAUUCAAUCAAAAUUUGGACAGUAAGGAUCUUUAAGCCUAGGACUAUCCUUACAACUGGGAUCAUUCCCAGUAUAUAAUAUUUACACACACACACAAACAUCCUAGCUUGAAUUUCAUGGUCAAAUUGACCAUUUUUAAAAUUAAAUAUUCAAGACAUAUGCCGAGUGAUUAUAAUCAUAAUAAACUAUGAAAAAUUUAUUACCAAUGUCAAGUUUUGUGAUAUGAAAAUUCAAUAUAGAUAUUUUUAAUUAUUAAUUUUAAAAAUGGUAAAUUUGACCAUUGAAGUCAAGCUAUGAUGUUUAUGAGUAAUGCUACACGGACAGGAAUACUGGACAGGUUCAGUUUUUGUUUGUUUUUUUUU